RNAcentral lists this ribosomal RNA (261 nucleotides) under uncultured Chlamydiales bacterium. RNAcentral's name for it is "partial 16S ribosomal RNA". It matches the Rfam family "Bacterial small subunit ribosomal RNA", at positions 44 to 302 of the family's 1533-position model. The record is from RNAcentral. Lineage: Bacteria; Pseudomonadati; Chlamydiota; Chlamydiia; Chlamydiales.
GUGGAUGAGGCAUGCAAGUCGAACGAAACGGGCAACCGUUUAGUGGCGGAAGGGUUAGUAAUACAUGGAUAACUUGCCUUUAACUUUGGGAUAACGAUUGGAAACGAUCGCUAAUACCAAAUGUGGUGGGGUAAUUAAUUUACCUUUAUCAAAGUGGGGGAUCGCAAGACCUCGCGGUUAAAGAGAGGUCCAUGGGAUAUCAGCUAGUUGGUGUGGUAAUGGCGCACCAAGGCUAAGACGUCUAGGCGGAUUGAGAGAUUG